AGAGGGAUAAAUGUCGCACUGCACGGAGCAAGCUGGUUGAAAACCCUCAAGAGGAACUAUUGGCCUCAAGUAUUGACUGAUAAUGCAUACUGGCUAAGAUGCUGCACUACUUCGUUGCACUGUUUGCUGUGGCCAUACUUUCUUCACGUGAAGGGAUUUCCACUCCUCAUCCUGCAAUCGAGUGCACAAACCAUACAGUUUUAAACGAGGCAAGCAGAUCUAAGUUUUUUACCAACUACAUCGUUAGCGGCAGCGAUACCUCAUUAACGGGCUGGUUUACAUUCAAUGGCUCAGCCGGUACGCGUAUGGCUACAACCUGCGUUCCCGCUGAUCACUGCGGUACGUUCGUUCCCGGAUGGCUGGCGGGUAACCAUCCAAGUGUAGAUGAAGGUGUAGUAGUACGAUCAGUAUGUCUCUCCAAGUCGCGAGUUUGUUGCAUGACAUCUGUGAGCGUGCUCGUGAGGAACUGCAGCAGCUUCUUUGUUUACAAACUGGACAUGAAUUCAAGUUUCAGCUUUACCUUUCGAGUGUGUGGAAGU
This is a long non-coding RNA of Pocillopora damicornis (cauliflower coral), 539 nucleotides long. The record is from RefSeq and is a predicted model, not a curated record. Lineage: Eukaryota; Metazoa; Cnidaria; Anthozoa; Scleractinia; Pocilloporidae.